RNAcentral lists this ribosomal RNA (530 nucleotides) under Stenotrophomonas maltophilia. Its description in RNAcentral is "bacterial SSU rRNA". It matches the Rfam family "Bacterial small subunit ribosomal RNA", at positions 380 to 902 of the family's 1533-position model. Lineage: Bacteria; Pseudomonadati; Pseudomonadota; Gammaproteobacteria; Lysobacterales; Lysobacteraceae. The record is from RNAcentral.
AGCCUGAUCCAGCCAUACCGCGUGGGUGAAGAAGGCCUUCGGGUUGUAAAGCCCUUUUGUUGGGAAAGAAAUCCAGCUGGCUAAUACCCGGUUGGGAUGACGGUACCCAAAGAAUAAGCACCGGCUAACUUCGUGCCAGCAGCCGCGGUAAUACGAAGGGUGCAAGCGUUACUCGGAAUUACUGGGCGUAAAGCGUGCGUAGGUGGUCGUUUAAGUCCGUUGUGAAAGCCCUGGGCUCAACCUGGGAACUGCAGUGGAUACUGGGCGACUAGAGUGUGGUAGAGGGUAGCGGAAUUCCUGGUGUAGCAGUGAAAUGCGUAGAGAUCAGGAGGAACAUCCAUGGCGAAGGCAGCUACCUGGACCAACACUGACACUGAGGCACGAAAGCGUGGGGAGCAAACAGGAUUAGAUACCCUGGUAGUCCACGCCCUAAACGAUGCGAACUGGAUGUUGGGUGCAAUUUGGCACGCAGUAUCGAACUAACGCGUUAAGUUCGCCGCCUGGGGAGUACGGUCGCAAGACUGAAACUC